Molecule: small nucleolar RNA, 135 nt
Filed under: Dasypus novemcinctus (nine-banded armadillo)
Lineage: Eukaryota; Metazoa; Chordata; Mammalia; Cingulata; Dasypodidae
Description: Small nucleolar RNA SNORA1 (ENSDNOG00000041922.1)
Rfam family: Small nucleolar RNA SNORA1
About the family: ACA1 is a member of the H/ACA class of snoRNA that guide the sites of modification of uridines to pseudouridines.
Source: RNAcentral
AACCUCAUUCUAUAUGAGAAUGGACACAGUUGAACAUGCCCUUUUGGAAUUGCUAAGGUGGCUAAAUUGAGACACAGUUUAUGCUUCCAUCACAAUAAAUUUACUAAAGUGGUGACAAUGAGAUCUGGAACAUUU